RNAcentral lists this ribosomal RNA (467 nucleotides) under uncultured bacterium. Its description in RNAcentral is "partial 16S ribosomal RNA". It matches the Rfam family "Bacterial small subunit ribosomal RNA", at positions 28 to 507 of the family's 1533-position model. The record is from RNAcentral.
GAUGAACGCUGACAGAAUGCUUAACACAUGCAAGUCAACUUGAAUUUGGGUUUUUAACUUAGGUUUGGGUGGCGGACGGGUGAGUAACGCGUAAAGAACUUGCCUCACAGCUAGGGACAACAUUUGGAAACGAAUGCUAAUACCUAAUAUUAUGAUAAUAGGGCAUCCUAUAAUUAUGAAAGCUAUAAGCGCUGUGAGAGAGCUUUGCGUCCCAUUAGCUAGUUGGAGAGGUAACGGCUCACCAAGGCGAUGAUGGGUAGCCGGUCUGAGAGGGUGAUCGGCCACAAGGGGACUGAGACACGGCCCUUACGCCUACGGGAGGCAGCAGUGGGGAAUAUUGGACAAUGGACCGAGAGUCUGAUCCAGCAAUUCUGUGUGCACGAUGAAGUUUUUCGGAAUGUAAAGUGCUUUCAGUUGGGAAGAAACAAAUGACGGUACCAACAGAAGAAGAGACGGCUAAAUACGUG